GACGAACGCUGGCGGCGUGCUUAACACAUGCAAGUCGAACGGAAAGGCCCUGCUUUUGUGGGGUGCUCGAGUGGCGAACGGGUGAGUAACACGUGAGUAACCUGCCCUUGACUUUGGGAUAACUUCAGGAAACUGGGGCUAAUACCGGAUAGGAGCUCCUGCUGCAUGGUGGGGGUUGGAAAGUUUCGGCGGGUGGGGAUGGACUCGCGGCUUAUCAGCUUGUUGGUGGGGUAGUGGCUUACCAAGGCUUUGACGGGUAGCCGGCCUGAGAGGGUGACCGGCCACAUUGGGACUGAGAUACGGCCCAGACUCCUACGGGAGGCAGCAGUGGGGAAUAUUGCACGAUGGGCGGAAGCCUGAUGCAGCAACGCCGCGUGCGGGAUGACGGCCUUCGGGUUGUAAACCGCUUUCGCCUGUGACGAAGCGUGAGUGACGGUAAUGGGUAAAGAAGCACCGGCUAACUACGUG
This 468-nucleotide ribosomal RNA is filed under the name uncultured bacterium. RNAcentral describes it as "partial 16S ribosomal RNA". It matches the Rfam family "Bacterial small subunit ribosomal RNA", at positions 28 to 507 of the family's 1533-position model. The record is from RNAcentral.